AGGUGGUUUUGUUUAAGUCAGAUGUGAAAGCCCGGGGCUCAACCUCGGAAUUGCAUUUGAAACUGGCAAACUAGAGUACUGUAGAGGGGGGUAGAAUUUCAGGUGUAGCGGUGAAAUGCGUAGAGAUCUGAAGGAAUACCGGUGGCGAAGGCGGCCCCCCUGGACAGAUACUGACACUCAGAUGCGAAAGCGUGGGGAGCAAACAGGAUUAGAUACCCGGGUAG
RNAcentral lists this ribosomal RNA (224 nucleotides) under uncultured bacterium. RNAcentral describes it as "partial 16S ribosomal RNA". It matches the Rfam family "Bacterial small subunit ribosomal RNA", at positions 573 to 793 of the family's 1533-position model. The record is from RNAcentral.